RNAcentral lists this ribosomal RNA (394 nucleotides) under uncultured bacterium. RNAcentral describes it as "partial 16S ribosomal RNA". It matches the Rfam family "Bacterial small subunit ribosomal RNA", at positions 523 to 918 of the family's 1533-position model. The record is from RNAcentral.
AUACGUAGGGGGCGAGCGUUAUCCGGAAUUACUGGGUGUAAAGGGUGUGCAGGCGGCAUUGCAAGUUUGAUGUGAAACCCCGGGGCUUAACUCCGGGCAUGCAUCGAAAACUACAGAGCUAGAGUACAGGAGAGGAAAGCGGAAUUCAUAGUGUAACGGUGAAAUGUGUAGAUAUUAGGAAGAACACCAGUGGCGAAGGCGGCUUUCUGGACUGAAACUGACGCUGAGACACGAAAGCGUGGGGAGCAAACAGGAUUAGAUACCCUGGUAGUCCACGCUGUAAACGAUGAAUACUAGGUGUCGGGGCCGUAGGCCUCGGUGCCGCAGUUAACGCAAUAAGUAUUCCACCUGGGGAGUACGGCCGCAAGGCUGAAACUCAAAGGAAUUGACGGGG